Non-coding RNA from Tribolium castaneum (red flour beetle), 95 nucleotides. The record is from RefSeq and is marked provisional. NCBI's taxonomy places the organism in Eukaryota, Metazoa, Arthropoda, Insecta, Coleoptera, Tenebrionidae.
GCAUCAAAAUAAGGCGUGAAAUUGCAGGAACUCUACUUACGUAAUGUUUAAUUUUAUCGUGAGUAGAGUUCUUGCAGUCAGUUUUAUUUUUUUAA